RNAcentral lists this long non-coding RNA (208 nucleotides) under Lathyrus oleraceus (garden pea). RNAcentral's name for it is "Pisum sativum (pea) long non-coding RNA (PSAT_LNC024855)". Lineage: Eukaryota; Viridiplantae; Streptophyta; Magnoliopsida; Fabales; Fabaceae. The record is from RNAcentral.
UGAUUCAGCCUAAUGUAUGGUUCAUCCAACUGUUCCGAUACGGUCUAUCGUACGACCCAUUUGGAUGUUCAUCCCCUCAGAUACGAUCUAGCGUACGAUCCAUUCUGAUCUUUAUUCCUCCGAUACUACCUAGCGUACGGUACAUUCUGAAACGUGGUCUAGCAUACGACUACCCUUUCAUCCUCAGAUACAGCCUAAUGGACGGCUC